Molecule: transfer RNA, 69 nt
Filed under: Ictidomys tridecemlineatus (thirteen-lined ground squirrel)
Lineage: Eukaryota; Metazoa; Chordata; Mammalia; Rodentia; Sciuridae
Also listed under: 1 other name
Description: Spermophilus tridecemlineatus (thirteen-lined ground squirrel) tRNA
Rfam family: tRNA
About the family: Transfer RNA (tRNA) molecules are approximately 80 nucleotides in length. Their secondary structure includes four short double-helical elements and three loops (D, anti-codon, and T loops). Further hydrogen bonds mediate the characteristic L-shaped molecular structure. tRNAs have two regions of fundamental functional importance: the anti-codon, which is responsible for specific mRNA codon recognition, and the 3' end, to which the tRNAs corresponding amino acid is attached (by aminoacyl-tRNA synthetases). tRNAs cope with the degeneracy of the genetic code in two manners: having more than one tRNA (with a specific anti-codon) for a particular amino acid; and 'wobble' base-pairing, i.e. permitting non-standard base-pairing at the 3rd anti-codon position.
Source: Rfam by way of RNAcentral
GGAGUUGUGGCUCAGAGGUAGAGCGCUCACCUUGCACCUGUGAGACCCUGGGUUUGAUCUCCAGCACCA